CUGCAGGUCACUGCGUUGUGAGUAAAACGUUCCAGCUGAAAGAUGGAGGAAGUGCUACAUUUCCCCGACCAUGCAUCAGGCUGACAUGCAAUGUCACAGCAAAACAACUGACUGAAGAAUACUGCAAGCCACCUGAUGAAUACAACGACUCUGUCUUUACAUUUCAACCGAAUGGAGGACCAUUUCCUUACUGCUGCCCUAUGGCUACUUCUAAGCGAAAGUCCUAGACAACAAUAAAGCUUUUUU
Long non-coding RNA from Dermacentor silvarum, 246 nucleotides. RefSeq lists it as uncharacterized. NCBI's taxonomy places the organism in Eukaryota, Metazoa, Arthropoda, Arachnida, Ixodida, Ixodidae. The record is from RefSeq and is a predicted model, not a curated record. The transcript has 2 exons.